Long non-coding RNA from Helianthus annuus (common sunflower), 1034 nucleotides. RefSeq lists it as uncharacterized. The record is from RefSeq and is a predicted model, not a curated record. NCBI's taxonomy places the organism in Eukaryota, Viridiplantae, Streptophyta, Magnoliopsida, Asterales, Asteraceae. The transcript has 4 exons.
UUCUUACUGUUUCCCUCACCUGGUGGUCACCUCCAUGUUUUCCUGCCCAUUAUCUCCACAACAACUCAACCUCCUUCGUAGUGCUCACAAUUUCAAUUUGCCGUCGGUUGUCUUAGGUCUCCUCCUCAUCCAUAAAGCUGUCACCCCAACCCACAACGUACAUCCCCAAAUCAAAACGCAAAAGUGGAGAGAUCAGAGGUCCUCUUCCCCCUCAGACGCCAUAUGCACCUCCUCACCCGUCAGUACAAUCAAUGACGUUUUAAAAGUUCAAGACUGUGAUUUAAAAAAUAGAUGAUGGUCUCUUAGUCUUCAUCUCCCUUUCCCUCUUUUCUGAAUCCCUCUCCUCUUAAUCACUUGAAGAAAGUGUUGAAGAAGAAUAAGUGGGCACUGCAUGAACAGGUGCUUCUCAAAAUGCUACAAGCUCAACCGGGCUGCUGAACUUCAUAAUUUGUCUAAAUGGUGUGCAAGGGUUGUGUGGUGUUGCCGAGUUUCUACUGAAAGGAUGUGUGGAAGUUAAUCUAAAGGAUUGAUGAGCGUCAGAUAUGUAUACUGCUAUCCGAGGCAUAACACGACUCUUAGAUCUGAGGAAUAACCAUAAAACAUGAAGAGUAACCGCUGUCUCACCGUGCUCCAUGGCUUGGCAUGUGGUGAGUCAGAUCCGGACGUGGUAUUUCGGUACGGAUACGCGUAAUUUACUGCUUAAAUCAAAUCAAGAAUUUUAUAGUGGUUAAAGAGGGUCUAGAGGCUGCUUUUGCUUCCUAUUUUAGGGUGAAACUAGGGUGGAUACGAAAGCUUUCGAACUCUUUGAGGUUAAAUUAUCAUUAUAUUUUAUCACAUUAUAUUAGGCUCUUUAACUAUUUAACAUGCUAAAAAUGAUUUUGAGCCACCGAUGGAGUUCUAAAUUGAACUUUUUAAUAUUGAUAAAAAAAAUUAAUCAGUUUGUAAAAACGGUGAUAUCAACAUUUUGUUUGUAUAGAGAGGGAGACACACACAUGUUUAUCAUUCUCUCUAGCUAUAUUAUUUUUUUUAUUUAA